Ceratotherium simum simum (southern white rhinoceros) is the source of this 1360-nucleotide non-coding RNA. NCBI's taxonomy places the organism in Eukaryota, Metazoa, Chordata, Mammalia, Perissodactyla, Rhinocerotidae. The record is from the annotation of a RefSeq genome assembly.
AUGGGGCCUGCCUCUACUACGGCCCCAUCAGUCUUCCCACUGGUCUCCAGCUGUGGGGACACAUCUGGCCCCACGGUGGCCCUGGGCUGCCUGGUCUCUGGCUACUUCCCAGAGCCGGUGACCGUGUCCUGGAACUCAGGCGGACUGACCAGAGGCGUGCACACCUUUCCAUCCGUCCUGCAGUCCUCGGGGCUCUACACCCUCAGCGUGGUGAUCGUGCCUGCCAGCAGCUUGGAGGGCCAUGCCUACAUCUGCAACGUAGCCCACCCGGCCAGCAGCACCAAGGUGGACAAGACAAUCGUGUCCGGCCCAAUCCCAUGGAUCGAUAGGUCACAGUGUCCCAAAUGCACAGGUCCUGAACUCCCAGGAGGGCCUUCGGUCUUCAUCUUCCCCCCAAAACCCAAGGACGUCCUCACAAUCUCCCGAAAGCCCGAGGUCACCUGCGUGGUGGUAGACUUGGGCCAUGAAGACCACGAUGUCCAGUUCACCUGGUAUGUGGAUGGCACAGAGGUGAACACAGCUACAACGAAGCCGAAGGAGGAGCAGUUCAACAGCACCUACCGCGUGGUCAGCGUCCUCCCCAUCCAACACCAGGACUGGCUGAGUGGAAAGGAGUUCAAGUGUAGGGUCAGCAACGAAGCCCUCCCAGCCCCCAUUGAGAGGAACAUCUCCAAGGCCAAAGGGCAGGCCCGGGAACCACAGGUGUACGUCCUGCCCCCACACCAGGAUGAGUUGGCCAAGGACACGGUCAGUGUCACCUGCCUGGUCAAAGACUUCUACCCACCUGAGGUCAACGUCGAGUGGCAGAGCAACGGGGAGUCAGAGCCGGAGGGCAAGUACAGAACCACCCCACCCCAGCUGAACGCUGAUGGGUCCUACUUCCUGUACAGCAAGCUCUCGGUGGAGACAAACAGGUGGAAGCAGGGAGUCAAGUUCACGUGUGUGGUGAUGCACGAGGCUCUCCACAAUCACUACACGGAGAAAUCUACCUCCCAGUCUCCGGAGGUGGUCCUGGACGAGAGCUGUGCUGAGACACAGGUCGGGGAGCUGGACGGGCUGUGGACCACCAUCUCCAUCUUCAUCACGCUCUUCCUGCUCAGCGUGUGCUACAGUGCCACCGUCACCCUCUUCAAGGUGAAGUGGAUCUUCUCCUCGGUGGUGGAGCUGAAGCGGACCAUCGUCCCCGACUACAGGAACAUGAUCGGGCAGGGGGCCUAGGGCCACUCCUCCUGGGUGGGCGUCCCGGGCCGCCCCGGACCCCAGACAGGAUCCAGGUCCGUCAGUUCAUGCUGCUCAGCCUGCCGCCCAGACCUGCUCCUCUGCCCUCUGAACUCGCCAGACUCUGACCUCAUGGCCCCUU